UACUUAGCUCAGUUGGUUAGAGCACCUGACUGUUAAUCAGGGGGUCGUGAGUUCAAGUCUCUCAGUG
RNAcentral lists this transfer RNA (67 nucleotides) under uncultured Anaeroplasma sp. It matches the Rfam family "tRNA", at positions 5 to 66 of the family's 71-position model. From Rfam's summary of the family: Transfer RNA (tRNA) molecules are approximately 80 nucleotides in length. Their secondary structure includes four short double-helical elements and three loops (D, anti-codon, and T loops). Lineage: Bacteria; Bacillati; Mycoplasmatota; Mollicutes; Anaeroplasmatales; Anaeroplasmataceae. The record is from RNAcentral.